This 69-nucleotide transfer RNA is filed under the name Trichonephila inaurata madagascariensis. RNAcentral describes it as "tRNA-Thr". Lineage: Eukaryota; Metazoa; Arthropoda; Arachnida; Araneae; Nephilidae. The record is from RNAcentral.
GCCAGUAUGGUGGCUAUGACCCUCGGCUUGUAACUGAGUGGGUUCGGGUUCGAAUCCCGAGUAAAAACA